Molecule: long non-coding RNA, 410 nt
Organism: Lineus longissimus
Lineage: Eukaryota; Metazoa; Nemertea; Pilidiophora; Heteronemertea; Lineidae
Exons: 3
Source: RefSeq, a predicted model, not a curated record
UGUGUCAUGUUGUCCGGGGCACUUUGGGAGAGGCAGCCACUGGAAGAUCUGGACGAUAUUCCCAAUUACAAUCAGUAGGUCUAUUGCGGCGAACAACUUGAACAUUCAAGAAUAGUCGGAAAUUUCCUUGCGAACAGCUAUUUUUUGAAGUCACCUAGUCUAAACAAGUUUGAGUUCAGUCGAGCUCAACCCGCCAGAUCAUCGACACUUAGACUAACACUCCUUGAGAGGACCCUAACGCACACUCACUCAUGAAGACCUUGUGGCUCUGAAUCAACAGGCACUGCAGGACUGAAAAUCUGCUCAACACCAUAAGAAGAGAGGAGCCAGAUCAUCGACACUUAGACUAACACUCCUUGAGAGGACCCUAACGCACACUCACUCAUAAAGACCUCAUGGCUCUGAAUCAA